AUUAGAGUAGUUAAAUUUUUAUAACAUUAUUUUUUCAAGAUGAAAUAGGACCAAAGUCCCUCUAAUC
RNAcentral lists this transfer RNA (67 nucleotides) under Peronia peronii. RNAcentral's name for it is "tRNA-Glu". The record is from RNAcentral. Lineage: Eukaryota; Metazoa; Mollusca; Gastropoda; Systellommatophora; Onchidiidae.